UACAGAGGUCCCGAGCGUUGUUCGGAUUCACUGGGCGUAAAGGGUGCGUAGGUGGUGAGGUAAGUCGGAUGUGAAAUCUCCGAGCUCAACUCGGAAAUGGCAUUGGAAACUACCUUGCUAGAGGAUCGGAGGGGGGACUGGAAUACUUGGUGUAGCAGUGAAAUGCGUAGAUAUCAAGUGGAACACCAGUGGCGAAGGCGAGUCCCUGGACGAUACCUGACACUGAGGCACGAAAGCUAGGGGAGCAAACAGG
RNAcentral lists this ribosomal RNA (253 nucleotides) under uncultured bacterium. RNAcentral describes it as "partial 16S ribosomal RNA". It matches the Rfam family "Bacterial small subunit ribosomal RNA", at positions 524 to 776 of the family's 1533-position model. The record is from RNAcentral.